This is a long non-coding RNA of Artibeus jamaicensis (Jamaican fruit-eating bat), 365 nucleotides long. RefSeq lists it as uncharacterized. The record is from RefSeq and is a predicted model, not a curated record. The transcript has 3 exons. Lineage: Eukaryota; Metazoa; Chordata; Mammalia; Chiroptera; Phyllostomidae.
CCCUGGACGGGUCUGCGCGUGCGCAGUGCUCUUCCGCUCUCCAGUAGCGACGUCCUUGCGGCUCCUGCGGCCGCCGCCCCAGGCUAGUGCUUGAUUCCCUCCAAGAACCCUUAGGCUGCAAGCGAAACGUCCUGCCGAGAAAGAAGAUGGGAGAGAAGAAGCAAUAGAGAGAGUGAGAGAAAUAUCGAUGCAAGAGAGAAACACUGAUUGGUUUCCUUCUGAAUGCACCCCAGUUGGGGAUUAAACCUGCAACCUAGGUUCUGUCCCUGGUCCUGACGCCAGCGAUCCCCAGUCUGGGCACAUACAGAGGGCAGCUGGUGAUGCUUCUCUCUCAAAUGAUGUUUCUCUGUCUCCCUUCUUGCCUC